GAUGAACGCUGGCGGCGUGCUUAACACAUGCAAGUCGAACGAUGAAGCCCAGCUUGCUGGGUGGAUUAGUGGCGAACGGGUGAGUAACACGUGAGUAACCUGCCCUUAACUCUGGGAUAAGCCUGGGAAACUGGGUCUAAUACCGGAUAGGAGCGUCCACCGCAUGGUGGGUGUUGGAAAGAUUUAUCGGUUUUGGAUGGACUCGCGGCCUAUCAGCUUGUUGGUGAGGUAAUGGCUCACCAAGGCGACGACGGGUAGCCGGCCUGAGAGGGUGACCGGCCACACUGGGACUGAGAAACGGCCCAGACUCCUACGGGAGGCAGAAGUGGGGAAUAUUGCACAAUGGGCGAAAGCCUGAUGCAGCGACGCCGCGUGAGGGAUGACGGCCUUCGGGUUGUAAACCUCUUUCAGUAGGGAAGAAGCGAAAGUGACGGUACCUGCAGAAGAAGCACCGGCUAACUACGUG
This 466-nucleotide ribosomal RNA is filed under the name uncultured bacterium. RNAcentral's name for it is "partial 16S ribosomal RNA". It matches the Rfam family "Bacterial small subunit ribosomal RNA", at positions 28 to 507 of the family's 1533-position model. The record is from RNAcentral.